This 404-nucleotide ribosomal RNA is filed under the name uncultured bacterium. RNAcentral describes it as "bacterial SSU rRNA". It matches the Rfam family "Bacterial small subunit ribosomal RNA", at positions 115 to 507 of the family's 1533-position model. The record is from RNAcentral.
ACUGGACAACCUGCCUCAAGGCUGGGGAUAACAUUGGAAACAGAUGCUAAUACCGAAUAAAAACUUAGUGUCGCAUGACACCAGGUUAAAAGGCGCUACGGCGUCACCUAGAGAUGGAUCCGCGGUGCAUUAGUUAGUUGGUGAGGUAAAAGGCUCACCAAGACAAUGAUGCAUAGCCGAGUUGAGAGACUGAUCGGCCACAUUGGGACUGAGACACGGCCCAAACUCCUACGGGAGGCUGCAGUAGGGAAUCUUCCACAAUGGGCGCAAGCCUGAUGGAGCAACGCCGCGUGUGUGAUGAAGGCUUUCGGGUCGUAAAGCACUGUUGUAUGGGAAGAACAGCUAGAAUAGGGAAUGAUUUUAGUGUGAUGGUACCAUACCAGAAAGGGACGGCUAAAUACGUG